GUCCCCGCACAAGCAGCGGAGCGUGUGGUUUAAUUCGUUGCUACACGAAGAACCUUACCUGGGUUUGACAUAGCAGUGGUAGGGAAGCGAAAGCGGACCGACCCUUCGGGGAGCUGUUACAGGUGUUGCAUGGCUGUCGUCAGCUCGUGUCGUGAGAUGUUCGGUUAAGUCCGCUAACGAGCGCAACCCGCGUUGUGUGUUACAAGUGUCACACAAUACCGCCGGUAUUAAGUCGGAGGAAGGUGCGGAUGACGUCAAGUCAGCAUGACCUUUAUAUCCAGGGCUACACACACGCUACAAUGGUCAGCACAAUAGGUUGCCAAGUCGUGAGACGGAGCCAAUCCUCCAAAGCUGGCCUCAGUUCAGAUUGCAGGCUGCAACUCGCCUGCAUGAAGUUGGAGUUGCUAGUAAACGCAGGUCAGCUAUACUGCGUUGAAUACGUUCCCGGGGAUU
RNAcentral lists this ribosomal RNA (453 nucleotides) under uncultured bacterium. RNAcentral's name for it is "bacterial SSU rRNA". It matches the Rfam family "Bacterial small subunit ribosomal RNA", at positions 917 to 1382 of the family's 1533-position model. The record is from RNAcentral.